RNAcentral lists this ribosomal RNA (135 nucleotides) under Oncomelania hupensis. RNAcentral's name for it is "5.8S ribosomal RNA". It matches the Rfam family "5.8S ribosomal RNA", at positions 1 to 135 of the family's 154-position model. Rfam says of the family: 5.8S ribosomal RNA (5.8S rRNA) is a component of the large subunit of the eukaryotic ribosome. It is transcribed by RNA polymerase I as part of the 45S precursor that also contains 18S and 28S rRNA. The record is from RNAcentral. Lineage: Eukaryota; Metazoa; Mollusca; Gastropoda; Littorinimorpha; Pomatiopsidae.
AACUUUAGGCGGUGGAUCACUCGGCUCGUGCGUCGAUGAAGGAACGCAGCCAGCUGCGUGAAUUAAUGUGAAUUGCAGACACAUUGAACAUCGACAUUUUGAACGCAUAUUGCGGCCAUAGGUCCGUCCUGUGCC